UAGGGAAUCUUCGGCAAUGGACGAAAGUCUGACCGAGCAACGCCGCGUGAGUGAAGAAGGUUUUCGGAUCGUAAAACUCUGUUGUUAGAGAAGAACAAGGACGUUAGUAACUGAACGUCCCCUGACGGUAUCUAACCAGAAAGCCACGGCUAACUACGUGCCAGCAGCCGCGGUAAUACGUAGGUGGCAAGCGUUGUCCGGAUUUAUUGGGCGUAAAGCGAGCGCAGGCGGUUUCUUAAGUCUGUUGUGAAAGCACCCGGAUCAACCGGGGAGGGUCCUUGGAAACUGGGAGACUUGAGUUCAGAAGAGGAGAGUGGAAUUCCAUGUGUAGCGGUGAAAUGCGUAGAUAUAUGGAGGAACACCAGCGGCGACUGCGGCUCUCUGGUCUGUAACUGACGCUGAGGCUCGAAAGCGUGGGGAGCAAACAGG
Molecule: ribosomal RNA, 429 nt
Filed under: Gemmatimonadota bacterium
Lineage: Bacteria; Pseudomonadati; Gemmatimonadota
Description: Gemmatimonadetes bacterium partial 16S ribosomal RNA
Rfam family: Bacterial small subunit ribosomal RNA
Source: RNAcentral